This 253-nucleotide ribosomal RNA is filed under the name uncultured bacterium. RNAcentral's name for it is "partial 16S ribosomal RNA". It matches the Rfam family "Bacterial small subunit ribosomal RNA", at positions 524 to 776 of the family's 1533-position model. The record is from RNAcentral.
UACAGAGGUCUCAAGCGUUGUUCGGAUUCAUUGGGCGUAAAGGGUGCGUAGGUGGCGCCGUAAGUCGGGUGUGAAAUUUCGGAGUUUAACUCCGAAACUGCAUUCGAUACUGCCGUGCUUGAGGACUGGAGAGGAGACUGGAAUUUACGGUGUAGCGGUGAAAUGCGUAGAUAUCGUAAGGAAGACCAGUGGCGAAGGCGGGUCUCUGGACAGUUCCUGACGCUGAGGCACGAAGGUCAGGGGAGCAAACGGG